GGGGGGGAAAUGAGUCAUCCCGGGCCCUGAUUGUUUGAAAAAUGGAGAGGUGGAAUGAAGGGAACCCAACCUCGCUAAGGGCGCCACCCGACCUCAAUGCAGAAGCUUAUCUCAAUUCGUUGUCUGUGCGCAAUUACGCGAACUACUGUAAAUGUUAAGACCAACUUGAAGAUCUUCCUUGUUCGAGUUCAAGGAUCCAGCUUGAUAUCUUAAAGAAGUGUUGCAGGGACUGGAUUGGAUUGGAAACUGAGCUCCAGUGGGCUGCCAAUGUGUGUCACGUAAAUUAUAUAUGGAUUGGCCGUGGCUGUGUCCACUUUUUUAUUUUUUUUUCCAGGUCCAUUAGUCCUUGGUUUGUGCACAGACCACAAGUCGAAAUUGGCUUAUAUGAUGAAGUCAGAUGGCGUAUUCGUGAGGUCGGGUUUCGGUCAAGGUUCAUUCAACGGAAAGCUAGGAAAACUAUACGUAUGCAAAACCUGGAGCGUGGGUAGAUUCUAACCCUGGAAGCCUUCUCCCGUGUACAAAAAAAUAAAUAUACGUGUGAGGGAAAAGAACUAUCAAUGAUAUCAAACAAGUCCCUUAGAGCAAGGCAUCAAACUGUCUCAAGAGCACAUCAGACCCUCCGUCUGCAUUGCCUCCGAUCUCCUUGAUCCCCUCAACAGCCCAACCCAUGGCCUUCUCCCCCACAAGCUCCCAUGUUUCCUUCUCAUCCAAAUGCUUCUUGUUCAAAUACGCCAAGACAAUAAGUGUCGCGACAAUUGACCUCUGCUUCACGUUCUUGGUGUCUAUUCCAGUUCUCUUUCCCAAAAUAGCUGCCCAAUCCAGUUUGCUUUCGAUAUCAGCGGCAUUGAGCUCCAUGACUGCAAAUACAUUGCUUUCCCACUGCCACGAUCCCUCAAAGGACUGAAGUGCUAUCAAGGCGUGAACUGCAUCCUGCGAAGGCGCUGUAGGUCCAGAAUCCGUUUUGAGAAACCGUUGGAUCAGCCGAGCUCCUGGAGGUGCACGGCUGGCUUUUUUGCUUUUGCGGUGGGAAUCAGUUGUUGCUUGCUCAGUCAAAUCGUUACCUUUGUCUACUCGGCCACCUAGUCGUUCGCCACGUUCAAGCACUAAGUAACAGAAACAUCUCGUAAGUAUAUCAGAGGAGCUAGUGUACACAUCCAACACGCAAAAUUGGAAAUGCAAAAGGCGCGAUCUAUACAUGGUGAAAACUUACUCUUAUCGGGAACGACUGACGCUGAUUUGGCUCUUUUACCUAAAGUAGAUAUUAAUGAUUUAGCACUAGAAAUUGGCAAGUAAAGCGAUAAGGUGCUAGGGACUGGUGAGAAAGGGGAAGGUAUCUCAGAUGAGAGGGGUUCAUAGGAGCUAAUUCAGCGGCUGGAAAGAAAAGGGGUAUGUGUCGCACCAAAAAGGGAGGCAGCAGCGGGCCCUUGGGGCGCGGAAGCUGACCCGAAUAAAGGCUCAGAGUGAUGUGCAGCAAAAGGUGACGGAGCUGUGUGAGCUGCGGCUGUGGGGGUUGGUCCAAAUGAAAACCUAGAGAUGGGUUGACUUGGUGCACCAAAAGGCAAUGCAGUGGGCGAAGAGCUGGUCGUAGAGAAAGCAGAUCCGAAACCACCAGAGACUGAAGAUCCUCCAAACCCUGAUCCUCGUGGAUUGCUGUUUGGCGCUGAGCUACGGAGAGAGAGGGUGUUUGAAGCUGGUGGAGCUGGAGGGAACGAAGCAAGUGAAUAUGGCGGGGGUGGGGGCAGAGGGGCCUCGGAUGCAAAGGAGCCUGGAGGACUGAACGAAACCUUACCAAAAUGGGACGGAGUGGAGAGUACAUGUAUGUUGGACGAACUAACUGUGCUCUCGCAUUCUGAAUCUAUGAUCUCUUCCUCAGACUCGUCCGUAUCAUCCGCAGGGUCUCGAAUAUCCCCAGGACCAAAACCAGGAGGUUUGCCGGCUUCUGAGGCCGAUUCCCUUUUUGCCUUCCGCUCCGCUAUUUUCCCAUCAGCAGGUGACUCUACGGCGACAAAGGAGCAAUAUUUCCCAGCCACUUGAAACCCAAUUCCGAGACGGACAGCUUCGCGCUUCACGAUAUUUUCCCUUUUGCUUUCAUGCUCGUCGAUAAUCAGCUGUCCUUUCUCGUUCUUCGCAUGGUAUAUCCACCCUCGACCUUCCUCCAGCUCAAGUGUUAUUUUCCGCGCAGCCAGUUGAUGAAGCCUUGUGCCUUGGCCAAUAUUCUCUAAGGGAAUUUUCAACAUCAAAGGCCCAUGUUUUGAAGUGCCCCUGAGAACGAAUGAUUUGAGGUUUGUUCGAGGAGCGUCUGGAGAGAGGAGGAAGUAAACAGUGGUCCUGUUAAAUGGGUAGAGACUGGGUAUUUUGUAAGGCGCCUGGAGUACGUUGGGAGGUUGUACUUUAGGGAGAUCCGCUUCAAGAGGGGUGGCAGUGGCCUUGAUGUCAGGUUCCUGGUAAGAAGGGUCAAACAGGGAGAUCGGUUGCAUCGAUUUUGGAACGUCUUUCUUUGAAUCUACGUUCAUGGUUUCGGCUGGGCGUUUUGCCGGAGAACGAAAAUUUUCGCCCGCGGGAACUUCGUUUGGUUUUUCGAUAAUCUCGAAGUCGUCUUCCCCACCAUUUUCAUACACCAAUUCAGCCGUAUAAUCCUUAAUAUGCGGCGUCAAAGCCCCCUUAAGCAUGCGGACAACCUUUUUGUCCAAAAGUUCAUUGUCGUUAACGAAUUGUGCGAACCCAUCCCCAGCUCUUGCAAUGCCCUCGAUAAGGGAUUGAGACGCGCCACUGCCAAUUCCCAAGCUGAAAAGUCGAAUAGGUUGGUCAGACACCGCUUUGUUAAUGUAGCUAAAGAGCGUGUUCUGGUCCCAAAUUUCACCGUCCGAGAGUAACAGAAUGUCCAAAUCCAGGUCUUUGAGACGCCUUUCCACCGUGGCCCGUACAGGGGCAAGGAUUUCUGUUCCUCCAAGAUUGGCAGACACCGAAUCCACAUAUUUAAGUGCAGCCUUUAGUGAGGAAGCAUCGUAUGCUUGACUUUUCUUCCACAUGAAUGAAUGGGAGGAGCCAAACGAGCAAAUAUUAAACUUGACACCAACUGGUAGGGAUUUGAGGAAAACCCUCAAUGCUGUCUGAAGUGUCUGAAUCUUCCCCCCCAUGCUACCACUUCGAUCGAUUAUGAAAACGAUUUCUGGGUUAUUGUUUGGUAUGUUGAACUUGGGAACAAGCGUUGCCAUUAUAGCUCGCUGGUUGGGAAUAGUCGGUCUUCAUCAAAAAACAAAUUUCCUUGCUGCAUCGUUAGGGUCGCAGAAGCGAGAUUCGCUUCAAAUACGUCUUGAGCAGCAACUGACGUCCGGCCUAGUGUGAUUGCGAUGGGGUGACUUGGUGAUUGUAAACCGCGGAUGCUCGAUCCUUUGUCCACUGAAACAUCCACAGUGAUGUUGAUGGCGCCUCUCUGUACAAGGGUCGCUAAGGAUUGACUCAAUUCGUGAGUGUCGACAGAAGAAUUUGCGUAGCGAGGACAGAUGAUGCUGGGAAUGCUGAAACGGACGCCAUCCGAUUGGGCAUCGUGUUGUAACUCGCCUAGAUAUAUAAUCUCCACAACUGCUUUGGAACCGACGGGGAAUUUUCCUAUGCUGGUGGUGAAAGUAUCAGAUGCCAAGGUGGACUGCUCAAGCAGAGCUGCAGCCUGGCCCUUCUGGACAGCCUGCUGGUAUUCAAUUUUAGCCUUCCCCCGUUCUUUCACGAUCCCACGAAUGACUCGAUUGUCAAUUUCGCACUUAAAACCCACAAUGCUGACGCCAUCGUGCAAAGGAAAGGUGUACUUGACAUCUCCUAGGUCUCUUGAUGUGGGGUUGAUGAAAGUCUGGGUUAAGAUUGUCCUGGAAGAAGCUGAUAAUAUGGUUGAAUGGGCUUUGAGGUCGACUUGAGGGAUGUAUUGGCGCGUUGUGGUGGCCAGAUACCAACAACCACACAGCGGUUGCAGACUUCCGUGGCGGGGCAUGAUUGAGGGAUAGGAUGAUGUAGAUAUACCGUCCAAUGCGCAGUAUUAGUACUUGGAGAUGGUAGCAAGAAGAUAAGCCUCUCGAAUAUUGUCCUCAGAAAAAGGCUUGAUGAAUUGGACACCACAACAUUGGCAUCAAUGACAAAACUUUGAAAGAUUGUUGCGAUCGAGGCAACCUUUUAUCCUUCUUGCAGCCUUCUCAGCCUUGAAGAGAAGGAGGCGAGGAAGACCAAUCAUCGGCAUGGCUGCUUCGUCCUGCGAUGGAUAGUGGCUCAGACGAGAAUGGGAUGGAUCCUGAGGCUUCGAGCUAGCGAUGCAUGAGUAAGUCUCCACAAAGCUGGCGAUUGGCUCCGUCCCCGCUCUCUCAAACAAGAAAGAACUUUCUCUGUUCGUAACGUGGAGGAAACAGAGUUUUCGCUCCGAGGCGUCAUGGUGGCAUCUUGUUGCCUGGUGUCGCGGUGCUUGGGUCUGUUGCCUAUCCUUCCCAUCUUCUGCGUGAAGAACUUUAAAAGGUUCAAGGCAGCUUGGUCCCGUGACCAGCCCAGCGAUGGGACGUUCAUCAUUGAAAAUCUGAAAGUAAUAGUUGACAUGUGGAACAUACGAUGGCUAAUGUAAGCCCCUGCUCACGGUAACUAGAAAUUUAUAUGCUUAGUAUGGUACAGAUCCGUUAUUUUAUUCCGCGAGGAUCAGAUUUCAUUUGAGCUCCCUCUUCGUGACUCUCCUCCCAAUGCUCCCAUCACAUCUCCUUUCCCAGCAUCUCCCCAGUGCACUCUCUCUAUCCCCCCAGCCCGCUCGGAAAGAUGUCGGAAUCCAUCAGAAACAAGAAAGUGGAAUUUCCCACAGCCCCGUACGUAUACCUCCAUAAAUCAAUUUAAAAGCUGACGCAUAUAAAACAAACUAAAUAGGUGUUAAUUGAAAAAAAAAAAAAACCUUUUGCUAAAAUCAACUCAAGAAUAUUGAAAUCGUAGUCAACCGACCGGUUAUAAUCAAGAAGUAAUAACUUUUGAUACUACCCAAAUGUCCUUUUGAUAUUCAAAAAUUGUAAGAAAAAUAUAAAGUUCAAGGGGAGAAACUCUGA
Molecule: small RNA, 5060 nt
Filed under: Histoplasma capsulatum var. duboisii H88
Lineage: Eukaryota; Fungi; Ascomycota; Eurotiomycetes; Onygenales; Ajellomycetaceae
Description: Histoplasma capsulatum H88 hypothetical RNA
Source: RNAcentral